RNAcentral lists this RNase P RNA (337 nucleotides) under bovine gut metagenome. Its description in RNAcentral is "Bacterial RNase P class B". It matches the Rfam family "Bacterial RNase P class B". Rfam says of the family: Ribonuclease P (RNase P) is a ubiquitous endoribonuclease, found in archaea, bacteria and eukarya as well as chloroplasts and mitochondria. Its best characterised activity is the generation of mature 5'-ends of tRNAs by cleaving the 5'-leader elements of precursor-tRNAs. The record is from RNAcentral.
UUGACAAACGCUGCAAACUUGUUUUGUAGAGGAAAGUCCAUGCUCACAAAGUCUGUGAUGACUUUAGUGUUCGUGCAUAGGGAAAAAAUAACCUAUGGUAAGGAAACUUAACGGCCUCGAAAUAACCUAAGUCUUUGGAUAUGGUUAAAGUAGAUAUAAAAGUGUCAUAGUGACGAAGAUUCUGGAAACAGAUGAAAUGGAACGCGAUAAACCCCACGAGUGAGAAACCCAAAUUUUGGUAGGGGAACUUACCUAAGAGAAUACGAAUCUGCGGUAGGAUCCGAAAGGAUAGAUAAAUGUUUGUCACCUAGUAAUAGGUACAGAACAUGGCUUAUAA